Molecule: long non-coding RNA, 294 nt
Organism: Hydractinia symbiolongicarpus
Lineage: Eukaryota; Metazoa; Cnidaria; Hydrozoa; Anthoathecata; Hydractiniidae
Exons: 3
Source: RefSeq, a predicted model, not a curated record
UUUUUUUCUUGUAGCCUGAUUUCAGUAGACUGAUUGUGGUUAAAAAACUUUUCGCUUUCAACAUGAAGAUUUGUGUACUCCUCUGGAUGGUGUUGUCAUUUUGUCUAUAUUAUUCACAUGGAGGAGUAGCAGUAGGACACAAGUUGUUAAAAGAAGCAGAGAAAUUAAUAGAACUUCGACCACAAUGUUAUGGUGGAAACUGCAUGGAACCGGUAUAGUUAUUUUAAAUUUUUAUGAGAUAAUACUCGAUUAUCAAAUAUAAUAAAUUAUAUAAUCAUAGUGUACAUUAAGUAA